RNAcentral lists this long non-coding RNA (516 nucleotides) under Sus scrofa (pig). RNAcentral's name for it is "lncRNA (ENSSSCG00055027256.1)". Lineage: Eukaryota; Metazoa; Chordata; Mammalia; Artiodactyla; Suidae. The record is from RNAcentral.
CUGUUAGCAGAUGGCUGAAAAAAGGCAUAAACCAUGAUUCAAAAAGAUUCAUGCAACCCCAGUGUUCAUUGCAGCACUAUUUACAAUAGCCAAGACAUGGGAGCAACCUAAAUGUCCAUCAACAGAGGAGUGGAUAAAGAAGAUGUGGCACAUAUGUACAAUGGAAUAUUACUCAGCCAUUAAAAAGCAUGAAAUAAUGCCAUUUGCCACAACAUCAGUGGAUCUAGAUAUUAUCAUACUAAGUGAAACAAGAUCCUUUCCUGCAGAACUGCGCCCCCCCCCCCCGCCCCGCCCAAAACAGACAGAAUGCAAGACCAUCACAAUGGGGCUAUGACCAGUUCCACGGACACGCAACACAUUGGCAUUGACAUGCCCAGAGGGGUACACCAGACAGCAGUGGGUGCUGGGCCAAGGAAGCGGCGUGAUGCACCCGUGGAGGAGGAGCCCCGGCUGUGUCUGGGAAUACAUUUCACACAGGGGACACGUCCCCGAGGACGGGCUGUAGUGGCCCCUAAA